This 253-nucleotide ribosomal RNA is filed under the name uncultured bacterium. RNAcentral describes it as "partial 16S ribosomal RNA". It matches the Rfam family "Bacterial small subunit ribosomal RNA", at positions 524 to 776 of the family's 1533-position model. The record is from RNAcentral.
UACAGAGGUCCCAAGCGUUGUUCGGAUUCAUUGGGCGUAAAGGGUGCGUAGGUGGCGCCGUAAGUCAGGUGUGAAAUCUCGGGGCUUAACUCCGAAACUGCAUUUGAUACUGCGGUGCUUGAGGACUGGAGAGGAGACUGGAAUUUACGGUGUAGCAGUGAAAUGCGUAGAUAUCGAGAGGAAUACCAACGGCGAAGGCAGGUCACUGGGCAGUUACUGACACUGAGGCACGAAGGCCAGGGGAGCAAACGGG